UACGAAGGGGGCUAGCGUUGCUCGGAAUCACUGGGCGUAAAGCGCACGUAGGCGGCUUGCUAAGUCAGGGGUGAAAUCCUGGAGCUCAACUCCAGAACUGCCCUUGAUACUGGCGGUCUCGAGUCCGGGAGAGGUGAGUGGAACUGCGAGUGUAGAGGUGAAAUUCGUAGAUAUUCGCAAGAACACCAGUGGCGAAGGCGGCUCACUGGCCCGAUACUGACGCUGAGGCACGAAAGCGUGGGGAGCAAACAGG
Molecule: ribosomal RNA, 253 nt
Filed under: uncultured bacterium
Lineage: Bacteria
Description: partial 16S ribosomal RNA
Rfam family: Bacterial small subunit ribosomal RNA
Source: RNAcentral